RNAcentral lists this long non-coding RNA (284 nucleotides) under Medicago truncatula (barrel medic). RNAcentral describes it as "long non-coding RNA (MTRU_LNC008007)". Lineage: Eukaryota; Viridiplantae; Streptophyta; Magnoliopsida; Fabales; Fabaceae. The record is from RNAcentral.
AACAAGUCUCAACCUCGCCAUUUCUGCAGGGCUUGUAAGAGACAUUGGACUAAAGGUGGUACUCUAAGGAAUGUUCCUGUUGGUGGUGUUAGGAAGAAUAAGAGAGUCAAGAUAUCAACCUCUAUUAGCACCACCUCAAAAACUACUAUUAGCACCUCCUUCACCACCACCUCAAAUGCCAAUAGGCUGAAUAAAAAAAACACACCUUCUUCUAUGCAUGAAUCUCUUAUUCAUCCACCAUCUUUUUUGCCACCACAGAAUCUAAUCAGUACCAAAGAUCAAUC